RNAcentral lists this ribosomal RNA (880 nucleotides) under uncultured bacterium. Its description in RNAcentral is "bacterial SSU rRNA". It matches the Rfam family "Bacterial small subunit ribosomal RNA", at positions 1 to 880 of the family's 1533-position model. The record is from RNAcentral.
CCCUUAGAGUUUGAUCCUGGCUCAGGACGAACGCUGGCGGCGUGCCUAAUACAUGCAAGUCGAGCGAAGAGGAGGGAGCUUGCUUCCGAAUCUUAGCGGCGGACGGGUGAGUAACACGUAGGCAACCUGCCUGUAAGACUGGGAUAACCCCGGGAAACCGGAGCUAAUACCGGAUAGGUCCCAAGACCGCAUGGUCUUGGGAGGAAAGAGCGCGACUCACUUACAGAUGGGCCUGCGGCGCAUUAGCUAGUUGGUGGGGUAACGGCCUACCAAGGCGACGAUGCGUAGCCGACCUGAGAGGGUGACCGGCCACACUGGGACUGAGACACGGCCCAGACUCCUACGGGAGGCAGCAGUAGGGAAUCUUCUGCAAUGGACGAAAGUCUGACAGAGCAACGCCGCGUGAGUGAAGAAGGUCUUCGGAUUGUAAAACUCUGUUGUCAGGGAAGAACACCCGGGAGAGGAUCCCGGCUUGACGGUACCUGACGAGAAAGCCCCGGCUAACUACGUGCCAGCAGCCGCGGUAAUACGUAGGGGGCGAGCGUUGUCCGGAAUCAUUGGGCGUAAAGCGCGCGCAGGCGGCUUCUUAAGUCUGAUGUGAAAGCCCACGGCUCAACCGUGGAGGGCCAUUGGAAACUGGGAGGCUUGAGUGCAGGAGAGGAGAGUGGAAUUCCUGGUGUAGCGGUGAAAUGCGUAGAGAUCAGAGGAACACCGAUGGCGAAAGCAGCUCUCUGGCCUGUAACUGACGCUGAGCGCGAAAGCGUGGGGGGCAAACAGGAUUAGAUACCCUGGUAGUCCACGCCGUAAACGAUGAGUGCUAGGUGUUAGGGUUACACACCCUUAGUGCCGAAGUCACACAUUAAGCACUCCGCCUGGGGAG